RNAcentral lists this long non-coding RNA (1844 nucleotides) under Homo sapiens (human). RNAcentral's name for it is "non-protein coding HOTAIR:6". Lineage: Eukaryota; Metazoa; Chordata; Mammalia; Primates; Hominidae. The record is from RNAcentral.
GUUCCAGCCUCCAGGCCCUGCCUUCUGCCUGCACAUUCUGCCCUGAUUUCCGGAACCUGGAAGCCUAGGCAGGCAGUGGGGAACUCUGACUCGCCUGUGCUCUGGAGCUUGAUCCGAAAGCUUCCACAGUGAGGACUGCUCCGUGGGGUCCUGCUCCGCUUCGCAGUGGAAUGGAACGGAUUUAGAAGCCUGCAGUAGGGGAGUGGGGAGUGGAGAGAGGGAGCCCAGAGUUACAGACGGCGGCGAGAGGCCCCAAAGAGUCUGAUGUUUACAAGACCAGAAAUGCCACGGCCGCGUCCUGGCAGAGAAAAGGCUGAAAUGGAGGACCGGCGCCUUCCUUAUAAGCUCGUUGGGGCCUAAGCCAGUACCGACCUGGUAGAAAAAGCAACCACGAAGCUAGAGAGAGAGCCAGAGGAGGGAAGAGAGCGCCAGACGAAGGUGAAAGCGAACCACGCAGAGAAAUGCAGGCAAGGGAGCAAGGCGGCAGUUCCCGGAACAAACGUGGCAGAGGGCAAGACGGGCACUCACAGACAGAGGUUUAUGUAUUUUUAUUUUUUAAAAUCUGAUUUGGUGUUCCAUGAGGAAAAGGGAAAAUCUAGGGAACGGGAGUACAGAGAGAAUAAUCCGGGUCCUAGCUCGCCACAUGAACGCCCAGAGAACGCUGGAAAAACCUGAGCGGGUGCCGGGGCAGCACCCGGCUCGGGUCAGCCACUGCCCCACACCGGGCCCACCAAGCCCCGCCCCUCGCGGCCACCGGGGCUUCCUUGCUCUUCUUAUCAUCUCCAUCUUUAUGAUGAGGCUUGUUAACAAGACCAGAGAGCUGGCCAAGCACCUCUAUCUCAGCCGCGCCCGCUCAGCCGAGCAGCGGUCGGUGGGGGGACUGGGAGGCGCUAAUUAAUUGAUUCCUUUGGACUGUAAAAUAUGGCGGCGUCUACACGGAACCCAUGGACUCAUAAACAAUAUAUCUGUUGGGCGUGAGUGCACUGUCUCUCAAAUAAUUUUUCCAUAGGCAAAUGUCAGAGGGUUCUGGAUUUUUAGUUGCUAAGGAAAGAUCCAAAUGGGACCAAUUUUAGGAGGCCCAAACAGAGUCCGUUCAGUGUCAGAAAAUGCUUCCCCAAAGGGGUUGGGAGUGUGUUUUGUUGGAAAAAAGCUUGGGUUAUAGGAAAGCCUUUCCCUGCUACUUGUGUAGACCCAGCCCAAUUUAAGAAUUACAAGGAAGCGAAGGGGUUGUGUAGGCCGGAAGCCUCUCUGUCCCGGCUGGAUGCAGGGGACUUGAGCUGCUCCGGAAUUUGAGAGGAACAUAGAAGCAAAGGUCCAGCCUUUGCUUCGUGCUGAUUCCUAGACUUAAGAUUCAAAAACAAAUUUUUAAAAGUGAAACCAGCCCUAGCCUUUGGAAGCUCUUGAAGGUUCAGCACCCACCCAGGAAUCCACCUGCCUGUUACACGCCUCUCCAAGACACAGUGGCACCGCUUUUCUAACUGGCAGCACAGAGCAACUCUAUAAUAUGCUUAUAUUAGGUCUAGAAGAAUGCAUCUUGAGACACAUGGGUAACCUAAUUAUAUAAUGCUUGUUCCAUACAGGAGUGAUUAUGCAGUGGGACCCUGCUGCAAACGGGACUUUGCACUCUAAAUAUAGACCCCAGCUUGGGACAAAAGUUGCAGUAGAAAAAUAGACAUAGGAGAACACUUAAAUAAGUGAUGCAUGUAGACACAGAAGGGGUAUUUAAAAGACAGAAAUAAUAGAAGUACAGAAGAACAGAAAAAAAAUCAGCAGAUGGAGAUUACCAUUCCCAAUGCCUGAACUUCCUCCUGCUAUUAAGAUUGCUAGAGAAUUGUGUCUUAAAC